Molecule: ribosomal RNA, 497 nt
Filed under: uncultured bacterium
Lineage: Bacteria
Description: partial 16S ribosomal RNA
Rfam family: Bacterial small subunit ribosomal RNA
Source: RNAcentral
UCUUCCCUCUGGCGGCGUGCCUAAUACAUGCAAGUCGAGCGAACAGAUGAGGAGCUUGCUCCUCUGACGUUAGCGGCGGACGGGUGAGUAACACGUGGAUAACCUACCUAUAAGACUGGGAUAACUUCGGGAAACCGGAGCUAAUACCGGAUAAUAUAUUGAACCGCAUGGUUCAAUAGUGAAAGACGGUUUUGCUGUCACUUAUAGAUGGAUCCGCGCCGCAUUAGCUAGUUGGUAAGGUAACGGCUUACCAAGGCAACGAUGCGUAGCCGACCUGAGAGGGGGGUAGGCCAAAAUGGAAGGUGAGACGGGAGCAAGAGACUGAGGGAGGGCAGAGUAGGGGAAGCUGCGGAAAAGGGCGAAAGCUGGACGAAUCAACGCGAGGUGGGUGAGGAAGUGCUGGGGGUGGUAAAACGCUUUUAUGGGGGAAAAAAAAUUGUGAAGGUAACGAUGAAGGUCUGGAGGUAACCGAUAAAGAAGGCCGGGGUAACUAAGUG